Non-coding RNA from Pelobates cultripes (western spadefoot toad), 221 nucleotides. NCBI's taxonomy places the organism in Eukaryota, Metazoa, Chordata, Amphibia, Anura, Pelobatidae. The record is from the annotation of a GenBank genome assembly.
GGACGUAUAUUUCUAUUGGAUUCUAAUCGUUCUCUUGGGGGAGUACAUGUAAUCCUUUUAGUAUUCUCCUUCAAAUAAGAGUCACCUUUACUUCUCCUCCCAUGAUCAUAUGAUAUUGUUUUUUUCCUAUAAGGGGAAUGAGAAUUAAAAUGAGAACCUCUGUAGGAAUGGGGUUUUCUUCUCGAUAUCCUAUUUAAGGUGGAAAAAGUACUAUUAUUUUU